This 110-nucleotide small RNA is filed under the name Salmonella enterica subsp. enterica. Its description in RNAcentral is "partial RtT sRNA". It matches the Rfam family "RtT RNA", at positions 1 to 109 of the family's 130-position model. Rfam says of the family: This family represents a bacterial cis-regulatory element known as RtT RNA. The exact function of RtT is unknown although it is thought that it may be involved in changing the cellular response in relation to amino acid starvation. The record is from RNAcentral. Lineage: Bacteria; Pseudomonadati; Pseudomonadota; Gammaproteobacteria; Enterobacterales; Enterobacteriaceae.
UAUCUCUCCGUACGGGGAAGGAUGAGAAGCUUCGACUAAGGUUCGAUUCGAGCGCAGCGAGAAAACGUUGCCGCAGGCAACGACCCGAAGGGUGAGGAGCGGAGCGACGA